This is a long non-coding RNA of Lycium ferocissimum, 1711 nucleotides long. RefSeq lists it as uncharacterized. NCBI's taxonomy places the organism in Eukaryota, Viridiplantae, Streptophyta, Magnoliopsida, Solanales, Solanaceae. The record is from RefSeq and is a predicted model, not a curated record. The transcript has 3 exons.
AAAGAUGCUCAAGAAGGAGGAAAAUGAAGUUCAUGAGGAUGUAUUUGUGAUUUGAUGCUAUGGACAAAGGCUGGAAAUCUGGAUUGAGGCCACUAGUUGGCCUAGAUAGUAUAUUCUUGAAAGGUAGAGUUGAGGGCAUCUUAUCGGUUACACUAGGACAAGAUUUUAUGAACCAUUUCUUUCAACUAGCUUGGGCAAUUGUGGACAAGGAAACAAGCAGGACAUGGAGCUGGUUCUGUUAGCUACUGAAGAGGUGUUUGGACCUUAAAGAUAGUGUAGGGAUUACAAUCAUUUCAGAUAUGCAAAAGGGAUUGGUAGGUGUUGUUGAAAAAGUUUUGCCUGAAGCUCAUCACAUGUUUUGUGUGAGGCAUAGUGAGAGUAACUGGUGCAAAAAGUGGAGGAGUGAUCAAAUGAGGAAGCUUAUGUGGUGGUAAGCAUGGAGUUCAUAUGAAGAAUUCAAGGACCAAUUAAAGAGGUUCAGAAAUUUAUCAAAAGAUGUUGCAAGAGAUUUGGUGAAAUAUCCACCAAGGGCAUGGUGCUGGGCUUAUUUGGACACUCAAUGUAAAAACAUAAUGGUUGAUAACAACUUCACUGAAUCAUUCAAUUCCUGGAUCCUUCAAGCUAGAGAAAAUCCAAUAAUCAAGAUGUUAGGGGACAUAAGAGUUAAAGUGAUAUGGAUGCUACGGAAUAAUGAAAACAAGUUGAGGAGUUGGACUUUUGAUGUUAGUACAACUUGCAUAAAGUUGUACAAUGACUUCAUGGCUAUAGCACAUAGUUGUAGGGUAGAAUUCAAUGGAGAUUGGGCGUAUGAGGUGUAUAAAGAUGAAGGUAGACAUACUGUCCAUCUAGAGCAAAACGAUGCACCUGCAGACUUCAAGAUUUAUCAGGUAUUUCAUGCCCUCAUAUUAUCAAAGCAUUGAUGCACAAGAAGGUGGAUCCUGUAACUGAAAUCCAUUGGUGGUAUAGUAAGAAGGCUUACAUGCUAACCUACAAGCACAACAUACAACACAGCAGAGGUCAAAGGUUCUGGGAGGUUGAAGCUUCAAAUGCAAUGUUGCCUCCUGCUGUUGUGAAACAAGUUGGCAAACCUAAAAUGAAGAGGAACAGGGAACCAGAUGAGACAAGAAAGAGGAAGGGUGAGUGGUCCCAAACUAGAAAGGGCACUCAAAUAACAUGUAGUAACUGUGGUGAACCAAAUCAUACUGCAACGAGUUGUUACGGUGUAAUCAUUAUGUUCUACAAUUUCAUAUUCUCAGUUUUAUGAAUAGAUCUUAUUAAUUUCUAUUUUUCAGUUUGUUUAACAUCAUACUGAUUGACAAUAUUUUUUUAUCGGACAAGUUUACUGGGAACAAUUCAAACUCAAGGAAGGAAAAAAGGCCAAUGACUGAUAAGAGUUCACAAUCAAGAACAGUUGGGGGUGCCGAUGAGAAUGAAAAUGGUACACAAGAGUCUACUCUCCAAGCUGCAGCACAAGAGACGUGACAAUACGGUCCUGAUGUUGCCAUUGAAGAAGACCCACCCUUAAGGCAAAUGGUGAUUUCUGAAUCACCGUUAAGGAGUGGGAAGUUGAAGACAAGAAGUGUUCAAUAAGACAAAUCCAGUUUAUAGGAGAUCACACUAGUGUUUUAGUUCCAACCAAUAUUCCUUACUCUCCAGUCAAGGCAACUUGGAAAGGAAAAGAAGCAAUAUCUUCUGGACAAGUGCAGAUGGA